This 301-nucleotide ribosomal RNA is filed under the name uncultured bacterium. Its description in RNAcentral is "partial 16S ribosomal RNA". It matches the Rfam family "Bacterial small subunit ribosomal RNA", at positions 509 to 808 of the family's 1533-position model. The record is from RNAcentral.
CAGUCGCCACGGAAUACGAAUGGGGCUAGCGUUGUUCGGAAUUACUGGGCGUAAAGGGCGCGUAGGCGGCCAUUCAAGUUAGAUGUGAAAGCCCUGGGCUCAACCUAGGAAUUGCAUUUGAUACUGAUUGGCUAGAGUUCGGGAGAGGUGAGUGGAAUUCCCAGUGUAGAGGUGAAAUUCGUAGAUAUUGGGAAGAACACCAGUGGCGAAGGCGGCUCACUGGACCGACACUGACGCUGAGGCGCGAAAGCGUGGGGAGCAAACAGGAUUAGAUACCCCAGUAGUCCCUGUCUCUUAUACA